UUAGGAAUUUUGGGCAAUGGGCGAAAGCCUGACCCAGCAACGCCGCGUGGGUGAAGAAGGUCUUCGGAUCGUAAAGCCCUUUUCUGUGGGAAGAGGAAGGACGGUACCGCAGGAAUAAGCAUCGGCUAACUACGUGCCAGCAGCCGCGGUAAUACGUAGGAUGCGAGCGUUGUCCGGAAUUAUUGGGCGUAAAGAGCGCGCAGGUGGUUAGAUAAGUUGGGUGUGAAAGACCCUGGCUCAACUAGGGGAGGUCAUCCAAAACUAUCUAACUUGAGGGCAGCAGAGGAAAGUGGAAUUCCCGGUGUAGUGGUGAAAUGCGUAGAUAUCGGGAGGAACACCAGUGGCGAAGGCGGCUUUCUGGGCUGUCACUGACGCUGAGGCGCGAAAGCGUGGGUAGCGAACCGA
RNAcentral lists this ribosomal RNA (405 nucleotides) under uncultured prokaryote. RNAcentral describes it as "bacterial SSU rRNA". It matches the Rfam family "Bacterial small subunit ribosomal RNA", at positions 355 to 776 of the family's 1533-position model. RNAcentral also lists the same sequence under 1 other name. The record is from RNAcentral.